AGUACAUUUAAUUCAGUCCCGUGAGGCUGACAAGGACAACGGAUUUGCAAAAGGGAUACGUCUAUGGAUGAUUUGUACCCUUUUGUCUGAAACUUCUUGUCACAGUUGGGCAAGGAGUUUUUUUAUU
Regulatory RNA element from Gracilibacillus kekensis, 127 nucleotides. It matches the Rfam family "PyrR binding site". From Rfam's summary of the family: This family represents the PyrR binding site and terminator structure. This RNA structure is found upstream of a variety of genes involved in pyrimidine biosynthesis and transport. The record is from Rfam. Lineage: Bacteria; Bacillati; Bacillota; Bacilli; Caryophanales; Bacillaceae.